RNAcentral lists this transfer RNA (63 nucleotides) under Oncopsis serrulota. RNAcentral describes it as "tRNA-Tyr". Lineage: Eukaryota; Metazoa; Arthropoda; Insecta; Hemiptera; Cicadellidae. The record is from RNAcentral. RNAcentral also lists the same sequence under 2 other names.
AUUGAGGUGUCUGAUUUAGGUGGUAAACUGUAAAUUUAUUAAAGAAUUUUUAUUCUCUCAAUA